GACGAACGCUGGCGGCGUGCUUAACACAUGCAAGUCGAACGGAAAGGCCCUGCUUUUGUGGGGUGCUCGAGUGGCGAACGGGUGAGUAACACGUGAGUAACCUGCCCUUGACUUUGGGAUAACUUCAGGAAACUGGGGCUAAUACCGGAUAGGAGCUCCUGCUGCAUGGUGGGGGUUGGAUAGUUUCGGCGGUUGGGGAUGGACUCGCGGCUUAUCAGCUUGUUGGUGGGGUAGUGGCUUACCAAGGCUUUGACGGGUAGCCGGCCUGAGAGGGUGACCGGCAACAAUGGGACUGAGAUACGGCCCAGACUCCUACGGGAGGCAGCAGUGGGGAAUAUUGCAGAAUGGGCGGAAGCCUGAUGCAGAAACGCCGCGUGCGGGAUGACGGCCUUCGGGUUGUAAACCGAUUUCGCCUGUGACGAAGCGUGAGUGACGGUAAUGGGUAAAGAAGCACCGGCUAACUACGUG
RNAcentral lists this ribosomal RNA (468 nucleotides) under uncultured bacterium. RNAcentral describes it as "partial 16S ribosomal RNA". It matches the Rfam family "Bacterial small subunit ribosomal RNA", at positions 28 to 507 of the family's 1533-position model. The record is from RNAcentral.